This is a long non-coding RNA of Raphanus sativus (radish), 592 nucleotides long. RefSeq lists it as uncharacterized. NCBI's taxonomy places the organism in Eukaryota, Viridiplantae, Streptophyta, Magnoliopsida, Brassicales, Brassicaceae. The transcript is spliced from 4 exons. The record is from RefSeq and is a predicted model, not a curated record.
UCCAUCUCGUGCUCUCUCCCCAUCUCGAGCUCUCUCUCCAUAUCGUGCUCUCUCCAUCUCUCCAUCUCGUGCUUUCUCCAUCUCUCCAUCUCUCCAUCUCUCUCCAUCUCGUGCUCUCUCUCUCUCUCCAUCUCGUGCUUUCUCCAUCUCGAGCUCACUCUUCAUCACUCCAUCUGGAAACCAACGGGACUCACCUCUUCUUUCUGUUCAGACCCCUCAGGCUCUCAAGCUCUCGACGACCCUCUUAGCACUCUCUCAACGGGACAAACAUCUCGUGAACUCUCUCUCCCCGUCAAACAUCUCGUGAACUCUCUCGAGAGCAAGAACCUCAUUGACCUCAACGAGCUUCUUAGAGAGUUUUACUUUGCUUUAUCCCUCUACAGCAGAUGCUCUCUUGUCUCAAGCUCACACUGCUGAGCUCACUCUCUCGAGUCUUCAGUUCUUGAGGUUUGCAGGCUCUCUUGUAUCACAGUCUCUUCUCUCUCACUUACAAGUCCACAUCAACUUUACUCUUCAGCCUGCCAAGCUCUCACUCUCAAGCUCACUCUCUCUUUAAAGUGUAAGUGAUGCUGGUUCCUGUUUUUAAGCAAUC